This 406-nucleotide ribosomal RNA is filed under the name uncultured bacterium. RNAcentral describes it as "partial 16S ribosomal RNA". It matches the Rfam family "Bacterial small subunit ribosomal RNA", at positions 30 to 526 of the family's 1533-position model. The record is from RNAcentral.
AUUGAACGCUGGCGGCAGGCCUAACACAUGCAAGUCGAGCGAGCGGCGGACGGGUGAGUAAUGUCUGGGAAACCGCCUGAUGGAGGGGGAUAACUACUGGAAACGGUAGCUAAUACUGCAUACCAUCAGAUGUGCCCAGAUGGGAUUAGCUAGUGGGUGGGGUAAUGGCUCACCUAGGCGGCGAUCCCUAGCUGGUCUGAGAGGAUGACCAGCCACACUGGACCUGAAACACGGUCCGGACUCCUACGGGAGGCAGCAGUGGGGAAUAUUGCACAAUGGGGGCAGGCCUGAUGCAGCCAUGCCGCGUGUGUGAGGAAGGCCUUGGGGUUGUAAAGCACUUUCAGCGGGGAGACGUUACCGGCAGAGAAAGCAACGGCUAACUCCGUGCCAGCAGCCGCGGUAAUUC